Molecule: ribosomal RNA, 372 nt
Filed under: uncultured Pseudomonas sp.
Lineage: Bacteria; Pseudomonadati; Pseudomonadota; Gammaproteobacteria; Pseudomonadales; Pseudomonadaceae
Description: bacterial SSU rRNA
Rfam family: Bacterial small subunit ribosomal RNA
Source: RNAcentral
UUGGUGCCUUCGGAACUCUGACACAGAUGCUGCAUGGCUGUCGUCAGCUCGUGUCGUGAGAUGUUGGGUUAAGUCCCGUAACGAGCGCAACCCUUGUCCUUAGUUACCAGCACGUUAUGGUGGGCACUCUAAGGAGACUGCCGGUGACAAACCGGAGGAAGGUGGGGGAUGACGUCAAGUCAUCAUGGCCCUUACGGCCUGGGCUACACACGUGCUACAAUGGUCGGUACAAAGGGUUGCCAAGCCGCGAGGUGGAGCUAAUCCCAUAAAACCGAUCGUAGUCCGGAUCGCAGUCUGCAACUCGACUGCGUGAAGUCGGAAUCGCUAGUAAUCGUGAAUCAGAAUGUCACGGUGAAUACGUUCCCGGGCCUU